RNAcentral lists this ribosomal RNA (510 nucleotides) under uncultured bacterium. RNAcentral's name for it is "partial 16S ribosomal RNA". It matches the Rfam family "Bacterial small subunit ribosomal RNA", at positions 28 to 507 of the family's 1533-position model. The record is from RNAcentral.
GACGAACGCUGGCGGCGUGCUUAACACAUGCAAGUCGAACGAAGAGCGAUGGAAGCUUGCUUCUAUCAAUCUUAGUGGCGAAUGGGUGAGUAACGCGUAAUCAACCUGCCCUUCAGAGGGGGACAACAGUGGGAAACGACUGCUAAUACCGCAUACGAUCUAAACUCGGCAUCGAGGAUAGAUGAAAGGUGGCCUCCACAUGUAAGCUCGCACUGAGGUUGGGGAUUGCGUCUGAUUAGCUAGUUGGAGGGGUAAAGGCCCACCAAGGCGAUGAUCAGUAGCCGGUCUGAGAGGAUGGACGGCCACAUUGGGACUGGGACACGGCCCAGGAUCCUACGGGAGGGAGCAGUGGGGGAUCUUCCGCAAUGGACGGAAGGCUGACUGAACAAAGCCGCGUGGGUGAUGGCGGGCUUCGGGUUGUAAAGCUCUGUUUAUCGGGACGAAAGGCCUUCUUGCGAAUAGUGAGAAGGAUUGACGGUACCGGAAGAGAAAGCCACGGCUAACUACGUG